GACGAACGCUGGCGGCGUGCCUAAUACAUGCAAGUAGAACGCUGAAGGAGGAGCUUGCUUCUCUGGAUGAGUUGCGGACGGGUGAGUAACGCGUAGGUAACCUGCCUGGUAGCGGGGGAUAACUAUUGGAAACGAUAGCUAAUACCGCAUAAUAGUAGAUGUUGCAUGACAUUUGCUUAAAAGGUGCAAUUGCAUCACUACCAGAUGGACCUGCGUUGUAUUAGCUAGUUGGUGGGGUAACGGCUCACCAAGGCGACGAUACAUAGCCGACCUGAGAGGGUGAUCGGCCACACUGGGACUGAGACACGGCCCAGACUCCUACGGGAGGCAGCAGUAGGGAAUCUUCGGCAAUGGACGGAAGUCUGAACGAGCAACGCCGCGUGAGGGAAGAAGGGUUUCGGAUCGUAAAGCUCGGUUGUAAGAGAAGAAAGAGUGUGAGAGUGGAAAGUUCACACUGUGACGGUAUCUUACCAGAAAGGGACGGCUAACUACGUG
Molecule: ribosomal RNA, 495 nt
Filed under: uncultured bacterium
Lineage: Bacteria
Description: partial 16S ribosomal RNA
Rfam family: Bacterial small subunit ribosomal RNA
Source: RNAcentral